RNAcentral lists this ribosomal RNA (465 nucleotides) under uncultured bacterium. RNAcentral's name for it is "partial 16S ribosomal RNA". It matches the Rfam family "Bacterial small subunit ribosomal RNA", at positions 28 to 507 of the family's 1533-position model. The record is from RNAcentral.
GACGAACGCUGGCGGCGUGCUUAACACAUGCAAGUCGAACGGAAAGGCCCUGCUUGCAGGGUACUCGAGUGGCGAACGGGUGAGUAACACGUGGGUGAUCUGCCCUGCACUUCGGGAUAAGCCUGGGAAACUGGGUCUAAUACCGGAUAGGAGCCAUUUUUAGUGUGAUGGUUGGAAAGUUUUUUCGGUGUAGGAUGAGCUCGCGGCCUAUCAGCUUGUUGGUGGGGUAAUGGCCUACCAAGGCGGCGACGGGUAGCCGGCCUGAGAGGGUGGACGGCCACAGUGGGACUGAGAUACGGCCCAGACUCCUACGGGAGGCAGCAGUGGGGAAUAUUGCACAAUGGGCGCAAGCCUGAUGCAGCGACGCCGCGUGGGUGAGGACGGCCUUCGGGUUGUAAACUCCUUUCGCUAGGGACGAAGCUUUUUGUGACGGUACCUAGAUAAGAAGCACCGGCUAACUACGUG